RNAcentral lists this ribosomal RNA (484 nucleotides) under uncultured bacterium. RNAcentral's name for it is "partial 16S ribosomal RNA". It matches the Rfam family "Bacterial small subunit ribosomal RNA", at positions 28 to 507 of the family's 1533-position model. The record is from RNAcentral.
AUUGAACGCUGGCGGCAUGCUUUACACAUGCAAGUCGAACGGCAGCGCGGGCUUCGGCCUGGCGGCGAGUGGCGAACGGGUGAGUAAUGCAUCGGAACGUGCCCAGUAGUGGGGGAUAGCCCGGCGAAAGCCGGAUUAAUACCGCAUACGACCUGAGGGUGAAAGCGGGGGACCGAAAGGCCUCGCGCUCUUGUAGCGGCCGAUGUCGGAUUAGCUAGUUGGUGGGGUAAAGGCUUACCAAGGCGACGAUCCGUAGCUGGUCUGAGAGGACGACCAGCCACACUGGGACUGAGACACGGCCCAGACUCCUACGGGAGGCAGCAGUGGGGAAUUUUGGACAAUGGGGGCAACCCUGAUCCAGCCAUGCCGCGUGCGGGAAGAAGGCCUUCGGGUUGUAAACCGCUUUUGUUCGGGAAGAAAUCCUCUGGGCUAAUACCCCGGGGGGAUGACGGUACCGGAAGAAUAAGCACCGGCUAACUACGUG